RNAcentral lists this ribosomal RNA (421 nucleotides) under uncultured bacterium. Its description in RNAcentral is "bacterial SSU rRNA". It matches the Rfam family "Bacterial small subunit ribosomal RNA", at positions 355 to 774 of the family's 1533-position model. The record is from RNAcentral.
UGAGGAAUAUUGGUCAAUGGGUGCAAGCCUGAACCAGCCAUCCCGCGUGAAGGACGACUGCCCUAUGGGUUGUAAACUUCUUUUGUAUAGGGAUAAACCACCCUCGUGAGGGUAGCUGAAGGUACUAUACGAAUAAGCACCGGCUAACUCCGUGCCAGCAGCCGCGGUAAUACGGAGGGUGCAAGCGUUAUCCGGAUUUAUUGGGUUUAAAGGGUCCGUAGGCGGACUUAUAAGUCAGUGGUGAAAGCCUGUCGCUUAACGAUAGAACUGCCAUUGAUACUGUAAGUCUUGAGUAUAUUUGAGNUAGCUGGAAUAAGUAGUGUAGCGGUGAAAUGCAUAGAUAUUACUUAGAACACCAAUUGCGAAGGCAGGUUACCAAGAUAUAACUGACGCUGAGGGACGAAAGCGUGGGGAGCGAACA